UUGCAACCUCGUGCAUUGCAGUUCCUGUGCGUCAUCCGCAUCCAUCUGCCGACUGCUCGCUAUGUCUUGUUUGCC
Molecule: small RNA, 75 nt
Filed under: Xanthomonas campestris pv. heliotropii
Lineage: Bacteria; Pseudomonadati; Pseudomonadota; Gammaproteobacteria; Lysobacterales; Lysobacteraceae
Description: sX9 sRNA
Rfam family: Xanthomonas sRNA sX9
Source: RNAcentral